RNAcentral lists this ribosomal RNA (453 nucleotides) under uncultured archaeon. RNAcentral's name for it is "bacterial SSU rRNA". It matches the Rfam family "Archaeal small subunit ribosomal RNA", at positions 74 to 509 of the family's 1478-position model. The record is from RNAcentral.
GGGCGCAGCGUACGGCUCAGUAACAUGUGGCUAACCUAACCUCAGGACGGGGACAACCCCGGGAAACUGGGGCUAAUACCCGGUAGAUUAGGAGGCCUGGAAUGGUUCCUAGUCGAAAAGGCGUUGAAACCAUGCUUUUCGACGUCGCCUAAGGAUGGGGCCGCACCUGAUCAGGUUGUUGGUGAGGUAAUGGCUCACCAAGCCUAUAACCGGUACGGGCCGUGAGAGCGGGAGCCCGGAGAUGGGCACUGACACAAGGGCCCAGGCCCUACGGGGCGCAGCAGUCGCGAAAACUCCGCAAUGCGCGAAAGCGUGACGGGGCUACCCCGAGUGCUGUCCGCUGAGGAUGGCUUUUCCCUGGUGUAAUGAGCCGGGGGAAUAAGGAGAGGGCAAGACUGGUGUCAGCCGCCGCGGUAAUACCAGCUCUCCGAGUGGUAGGGAUGAUUAUUGGGC